Molecule: ribosomal RNA, 602 nt
Filed under: uncultured bacterium
Lineage: Bacteria
Description: bacterial SSU rRNA
Rfam family: Bacterial small subunit ribosomal RNA
Source: RNAcentral
CCAGACUCCUACGGGAGGCAGCAGUGAGGAAUAUUGGUCAAUGGGCGCGAGCCUGAACCAGCCAAGUCGCGUGAGGGACGACGGUCCUACGGAUUGUAAACCUCUUUAGGCGGGGAGUAAUGUGCUCUACGAGUAGAGUAGUGAGAGUACCCGCAGAAUAAGCAUCGGCUAACUCCGUGCCAGCAGCCGCGGUAAUACGGAGGAUGCGAGCGUUAUCCGGAUUUAUUGGGUUUAAAGGGUGCGCAGGCUGUGCAUCAAGUCAGCGGUAAAAUCUCGGGGCUCAACCCCGUUUAGCCGUUGAAACUGGUGUGCUGGAGUGUGCGCGAGGAAGGCGGAAUGCGCGGUGUAGCGGUGAAAUGCAUAGAUAUUGCGCAGAACUCCGAUUGCGAAGGCAGCCUUCCAGUGCAUGACUGACGCUGAGGCACGAAAGCGUGGGUAUCGAACAGGAUUAGAUACCCUGGUAGUCCACGCAGUAAACGAUGAAUACUAUCUUUCCGUCGCGAUUGAGCGGGGGGAGGACAAGCGAAAGCGUUAAGUAUUCCACCUGGGGAGUACGCCGGCAACGGUGAAACUCAAAGGAAUUGACGGGGGCCCCGCACAAG